RNAcentral lists this microRNA precursor (207 nucleotides) under Oryza glumipatula. RNAcentral's name for it is "MIR812 microRNA precursor family". It matches the Rfam family "MIR812 microRNA precursor family". Lineage: Eukaryota; Viridiplantae; Streptophyta; Magnoliopsida; Poales; Poaceae. The record is from Rfam by way of RNAcentral.
AAAAAAACAAACCCUGAUUUUUCGUGUCCAACGUUUGAUCGUACGUCUUAUUUAAAAAAAUUAUGAAAAAAAUUAAAAAGAUAAGUCACGCAUAAAGUAUUAAUCAUGUUUUAUCAUCUAACAACAAUGAAAAUACUAAUUAUAAAUAGAUUUCAUAUAAGACGGACAGUCAAACGUUGGACACGGAAACUCAGGGUUUGUCUUUUU